Molecule: ribosomal RNA, 439 nt
Filed under: uncultured bacterium
Lineage: Bacteria
Description: partial 16S ribosomal RNA
Rfam family: Bacterial small subunit ribosomal RNA
Source: RNAcentral
CUACGGGUGGCUGCAGUGAGGAAUAUUGCACAAUGGGGGGAACCCUGAUGCAGCAACGCCGCGUGGAGGAUGACGCAUUUCGGUGUGUAAACUCCUUUUAUAUGUCAAGAAAAUGACGGUAGCAUAUGAAUAAGCACCGGCUAACUCCGUGCCAGCAGCCGCGGUAAUACGGAGGGUGCAAGCGUUACUCGGAGUCACUGGGCGUAAAGGACGCGUAGGCGGGUUGGAAAGUCAGGUGUGAAAUCCUACAGCUUAACUGUAGAACUGCACUUGAAACUUCUAAUCUAGAGUAUGGGAGGGGUAGAUGGAAUUAGUGGUGUAGGGGUAAAAUCCGUAGAUAUCACUAGGAAUACCUAAAGCGAAGGCGAUCUCCUGGAACAUUACUGACGCUAAGGCGUGAAAGCGUGGGGAGCAAACAGGAUUAGAUACCCUCGUAGUC